Molecule: signal recognition particle RNA, 100 nt
Filed under: Gemmatimonadales bacterium
Lineage: Bacteria; Pseudomonadati; Gemmatimonadota; Gemmatimonadia; Gemmatimonadales
Description: signal recognition particle sRNA small type
Rfam family: Bacterial small signal recognition particle RNA
About the family: The signal recognition particle (SRP) is a universally conserved ribonucleoprotein involved in the co-translational targeting of proteins to membranes. Archaeal SRP consists of a 7S RNA and homologues of the eukaryotic SRP19 and SRP54 proteins.
Source: RNAcentral
GCCCCAGGUCCGGGGGGCGCGCACGCGCGAACCGCGUCAGGACCGUGAAGGUAGCAGCGCUAAGCGAUGUUGCACGUCGCUCCGGGGCGCCUGGGGCACU